RNAcentral lists this ribosomal RNA (253 nucleotides) under uncultured bacterium. RNAcentral's name for it is "partial 16S ribosomal RNA". It matches the Rfam family "Bacterial small subunit ribosomal RNA", at positions 524 to 776 of the family's 1533-position model. The record is from RNAcentral.
UACGUAGGGAGCAAGCGUUGUCCGGAAUCAUUGGGCGUAAAGCGCGCGUAGGUGGCCACAUAAGUCCGUUGUGAAAGUCAAAGGCUCAACCUUUGAAAGCCGAUGGAUACUGUGUGGCUAGAGUACGGAAGAGGCGAGUGGAAUUCCUGGUGUAGCGGUGGAAUGCGCAGAUAUCAGGAGGAACACCAAUAGCGAAGGCGGCACUCUGGGCCGGUACUGACGCUGAGGAGCGAAAGCGUGGGGAGCAAACAGG